This 467-nucleotide ribosomal RNA is filed under the name uncultured bacterium. RNAcentral's name for it is "partial 16S ribosomal RNA". It matches the Rfam family "Bacterial small subunit ribosomal RNA", at positions 28 to 506 of the family's 1533-position model. The record is from RNAcentral.
GACGAACGCUGGCGGCGUGCUUAACACAUGCAAGUCGAACGGUGAUGCUCCAGCUUGCUGGAGUGGAUCAGUGGCGAACGGGUGAGUAACACGUGAGCAACCUGCCCCAGACUCUGGAAUAAGCGCUGGAAACGGCGUCUAAUACUGGAUACGAAACUGGCCCGCAUGGGCAUGGUUUGGAAAGUUUUUCGGUUUGGGAUGGGCUCGCGGCCUAUCAGCUUGUUGGUGAGGUAAUGGCUCACCAAGGCGACGACGGGUAGCCGGCCUGAGAGGGCGACCGGCCACACUGGGACUGAGACACGGCCCAGACUCCUACGGGAGGCAGCAGUGGGGAAUAUUGCACAAUGGGCGAAAGCCUGAUGCAGCGACGCCGCGUGAGGGAUGACGGCCUUCGGGUUGUAAACCUCUUUCAGCAGGGAAGAAGCGAAAGUGACGGUACCGGCAGAAGAAGCACCGGCUAACUACGU